GAUGAACGCUCGCGGCGUGCCUAAUACAUGCAAGUCGAGCGAACGGACGAGAAGCUUGCUUCUCUGAUGUUAGCGGCGGACGGGUGAGUAACACGUGGAUAACCUACCUAUAAGACUGGGAUAACUUCGGGAAACCGGAGCUAAUACCGGAUAAUAUUUUGAACCGCAUGGUUCAAAAGUAAAAGACGGUCUUGCUGUCACUUAUAGAUGGAUCCGCGCUGCAUUAGCUAGUUGGUAAGGUAACGGCUUACCAAGGCAACGAUGCAUAGCCGACCUGAGAGGGUGAUCGGCCACACUGGAACUGAGACACGGUCCAGACUCCUACGGGAGGCAGCAGUAGGGAAUCUUCCGCAGUGGGCGAAAGCCUGACGGAGCAACGCCGCGUGAGUGAUGAAGGUCUUCGGAUCGUAAAACUCUGUUAUUAGGGAAGAACAUAUGUGUAAGUAACUGUGCACAUCUUGACGGUACCUAAUCAGAAAGCCACGGCUAACUACGUG
This 497-nucleotide ribosomal RNA is filed under the name uncultured bacterium. RNAcentral describes it as "partial 16S ribosomal RNA". It matches the Rfam family "Bacterial small subunit ribosomal RNA", at positions 28 to 507 of the family's 1533-position model. The record is from RNAcentral.